GAUGAACGCUAGCGGCAGGCCUAACACAUGCAAGUCGAGGGGUAGAGUUCUUCGGGACUUGAGACCGGCGCACGGGUGCGUAACGCGUAUGCAAUCUACCUUAUACAGGGGAAUAGCCCCAGAGAAAAUUUGGAUUAAUGCCCCAUAGUGUUAUCGAAUCGCAUGGUUUGAUAACUAAAGUUCCAACGGUAUAAGAUGAGCAUGCGUCCCAUUAGCUAGAUGGUAAGGUAACGGCUUACCAUGGCAAUGAUGGUAGGGGUCCUGAGAGGGAGAUCCCCCACACUGGUACUGAGACACGGACCAGACUCCUACGGGAGGCAGCAGUGAGGAAUAUUGGACAAUGGGCGCAAGCCUGAUCCAGCCAUGCCGCGUCGCAGGAAUAAGGUCCU
This 389-nucleotide ribosomal RNA is filed under the name uncultured bacterium. RNAcentral describes it as "bacterial SSU rRNA". It matches the Rfam family "Bacterial small subunit ribosomal RNA", at positions 28 to 418 of the family's 1533-position model. The record is from RNAcentral.